CUUAAUAUUUUUGAAAUAUCGUUUUAGCCGUUAUUUUUUUGUUUUAAAUAUACCAUUCUUAUAUUUCUCCGUUAUUAAAAAAUAAUUCCGCUUUUAAUACCCGUUAAGUAAUUUCAAGUUAAACCUAUGUUAAAUUUCUGUUAGAGUUAAAAAAAAAUCAAAAUAUCUAUUUUGUCCCUAAAUUAAGGGCAAACAAGAAAAAUUAUUGACAGUAUAAAAAUAUAUUUGAAAGAUCAAAAAUUAAAAUAGUUGUUUGCAUCUAAUUAGAAACAAAUAAGAAAAGUCGAUGGUGAUAGAAGAGUAUAUUUAAAAGAGCAAAAUAGUAUUUUACAGAAAUAAUAGUUAUUUCAAAUAAUUUACUAACAAAAUCUAACUCUAGAAAUAUAUUUGAAAGAACUUAAAUUGUUAAAAGAACUAUCUGAAUGUUAGCUUUGUAAACAGAAUAAAUAAAAAGAUCAAAAACUUUUCAAGAAUAUAUAAGGCCCCUAAAAUAAAAAU
This 498-nucleotide long non-coding RNA is filed under the name Ananas comosus (pineapple). RNAcentral describes it as "long non-coding RNA (ACOM_LNC006846)". Lineage: Eukaryota; Viridiplantae; Streptophyta; Magnoliopsida; Poales; Bromeliaceae. The record is from RNAcentral.